CGUAACAAGGUCUCCGUAGGUGAACCUGCGGAGGGAUCAUUACACAAAGAAUAUGAAGGCGUGGGCGCGCGCUGGCAACAGCCGUGCUCUGCUGGAUUAUUUUUCACCCAUGUCUUUUGCGCACUUUUUGUUUCCUGGGCGAGUUCGCUCGCCACCAGGACCCAACCAUAAACCUUUUUUUAUGCAGUUGCAAUCAGCGUCAGUAUAAUCAUAAUGUAUUAAAACUUUCAACAACGGAUCUCUUGGUUCUGGCAUCGAUGAAGAACGCAGCGAAAUGCGAUACGUAGUGUGAAUUGCAGAAUUCAGUGAAUCAUCGAAUCUUUGAACGCACAUUGCGCCCUUUGGUAUUCCAAAGGGCAUGCCUGUUCGAGCGUCAUUUGUACCCUCAAGCUUUGCUUGGUGUUGGGCGUUUUUUGUCUCUCCUUGCGGGAGACUCGCCUUAAAACGAUUGGCAGCCGGCCUACUGGUUUCGGAGCGCAGCACAAAUUUGCGCUUGCAAUCAGCCAAGGGCGGUAUCCAUCAAGCCUUUUUUUAUCCACAUUUUGACCUCGGAUCAGGUAGGGAUACCCGCUGAACUUAAGCAUAUCA
Molecule: small RNA, 588 nt
Filed under: Exserohilum protrudens
Lineage: Eukaryota; Fungi; Ascomycota; Dothideomycetes; Pleosporales; Pleosporaceae
Description: eukaryotic LSU rRNA
Rfam family: 5.8S ribosomal RNA (bases 223-376)
Source: RNAcentral